RNAcentral lists this ribosomal RNA (442 nucleotides) under uncultured bacterium. RNAcentral's name for it is "partial 16S ribosomal RNA". It matches the Rfam family "Bacterial small subunit ribosomal RNA", at positions 338 to 795 of the family's 1533-position model. The record is from RNAcentral.
CCUACGGGUGGCAGCAGUGGGGGAUAUUGCACAAUGGGGGAAACCCUGAUGCAGCGACGCCGCGUGGGCGAAGACGUAUUUCGGUAUGUAAAGCCCUAUCUGCAGGGAAGAAGAAAUGACGGUACCUGAGUAAGAAGCACCGGCUAAAUACGUGCCAGCAGCCGAGGGAAGACGGAGGGUGCAAGCGUUAUCCGGAUUUACUGGGUGUAAAGGGAGCGCAGGCGGGACGGCAAGCCUGAUGGGAAAGCCCGCGGCCCAACCGCGGGACUGCAUUGGGAACUACCGGGCUGGAGUGCAGGGGAGGUAGGCGGAAUUCGUGGUGUAGCGGUGAAAUGCGUAGAUAUUAGGAGGAACACCAGUGGCGAAGGCGGCCUACUGGACGGUGACUGACGCUGAGGCUCGAAAGCGUGGGGAGCAAACAGGAUUAGAUACCCCUGUAGUC